RNAcentral lists this small RNA (621 nucleotides) under Olea europaea subsp. europaea. The record is from RNAcentral. Lineage: Eukaryota; Viridiplantae; Streptophyta; Magnoliopsida; Lamiales; Oleaceae.
AUAUUGGUAGAUUCAGUUCCAACAGCAAAACUUUCUCUUGGUUCAGUGGCAACUGUUAAUAGCCUUAUCAAGUGCACCGUAGAAAGGAUCAAGGGUGCUUUGCUGUGCGAAGGUGCAUGACCAAAAGGUCUGCUUCCUGGUAAGCCUUUCUUUUUAAACUUAUUCUUGGAUUUGACAAGUAAUUAUUCUACCUUAUGCCCUGUUCUGAAAGAUAUCCCCUUAGAGCUUUCCAUGCCUGAAAGCAGGAAAUAUUUAUUUAGAUGGAAAUGUGAUAAAUUUUAUAAGUACAUGCUGUACUCCUAAAUAAACCAACCUUUGAUAUUGCAAAAAAAAAGUAGACAGACAUGAAAACUGAUUUUACAUUUUAAAAUCUACUUCUGGUUAGUGCUACAACUAUCUGUUAAAUAUUUGAUCAACCAUAAACGAAGCAUCUUCCUUUUUUUUCGCCUAAAUCUUGACAGUCGCUACGUCCUUAAAAACAGUUUCUUCAUUCUGACAUCAUUUUUUGACUGUCUUAUGUUGCAGUUUAGACUUGAAACGAAGAGCAAAUGGGAAAGAAGAAUAUGUUUACCGUAGGAUGUGGGAGGAAGGAAAGAAGUCAAGAACGCACCUUGUAUAAUC